This 1221-nucleotide long non-coding RNA is filed under the name Serinus canaria (Common canary). Its description in RNAcentral is "lncRNA (ENSSCAG00000001835.1)". The record is from RNAcentral. Lineage: Eukaryota; Metazoa; Chordata; Aves; Passeriformes; Fringillidae.
CCUACUUCCCUGGCACCUACUGUGAGAUAUGAUCAGAGACAGAGCAAAGCAGGCUCCAACUUAAGGUUAAAAGGAAAAAAAAGCAUUUAUUAACCUACAACUACAAAGGAAGACACACAAAACACAAUAGAACAUAAGAUGAAAACCUUCCAAAAUUCUUCCUCCUCCCCCCACCAAAUUUCCAAUUUCAUUGCCACCCUUCAGACAAUCGAUUCUCAGUCUCUCGAGGAGAGAGAAGUCCCUCUUGCGCCACACGCCUUCCAUGUCCAGUGCUCUCACCACUGCACAUGGAUCAGAGCUGCUUCUGGGGUUUUUCAUUUUAAGGAUACUUUGACCAGUUCCAAAGGGAGCACAGUCCUUCUCCUUUUGGGACACCUGUCCCCCCCAAAUUUCACCCCCUGGGGCCGAGGGGUCUCUUGAACAGAGAUCGUCUUCUUCUCUUCUUCGAGACGGAGGGCACCACCACACCCUCCUCACCCGUCGUCUCUGUUCACUCCUCCACAUCACUGCACUCUCUUGGCUCUGAGCCAUCGCCUCCCCCUAGAACGCAGUCUCUGUGGCACAGAAACACCCGUGGUUCUGCUGUGGCUACACAAGAAAAGUCCAGCCCAAAGCCACUUCAUCAUCUCCUCCCACCUAGAAUUUUCCUCAACAUCUUCUCAAUCUCAACAUCUUCUCAAUCUCAUCAACUUCAGGAGGACUCAGCUUUUGCAAGGUUCUCAUCUUCCUCAAAGGGGUUAAAAGUCCCGAGCUCUCUCUCUCUGCCGGUUUACUUCGUCAACUCCCACGCCUGUCUGCCCUGCUGGGCACCCCCCCCUUCUCCUUCACGCCGGGCCACUAUCACAGCCGCCACAGGCACCGGCUCUGUCUCUCUCUCCCUCUCCGGGGGGGUGGGGGAAUGGAGGAUGGCUGCCCGAAGCCCUUGCAAUGUUCUCCUCCACCCUUGGGCCCAGGCCUGUCCUACCUCUCUCUCUGGCCACAUGGCUCCCCUCCCCCCCUGCCCAGCCAGAUCUGGGCAGGGGGGUCUGCUCACUCUCCAGCGGGACUCCAAGAGGAAGUUCCCCUGGGAGAUCACAGCUUUUAACCCCUGUGUUCUCAGAGGCGUAUCCUGCCCUCAGUGGACAAACCAGGUGCCAAUAUUAAAUCUGAACACUGAUUGGAUUGCCCACACCAUCACAAAAAACUUCAAUUUCCUUUCAAACCACGACAUUCCACCCUUCG